RNAcentral lists this ribosomal RNA (496 nucleotides) under uncultured bacterium. RNAcentral describes it as "partial 16S ribosomal RNA". It matches the Rfam family "Bacterial small subunit ribosomal RNA", at positions 28 to 507 of the family's 1533-position model. The record is from RNAcentral.
GAUGAACGCUGGCGGCGUGCCUAAUACAUGCAAGUCGAGCGAACAGAUGAGGAGCUUGCUCCUCUGACGUUAGCGGCGGACGGGUGAGUAACACGUGGAUAACCUACCUAUAAGACUGGGAUAACUUCGGGAAACCGGAGCUAAUACCGGAUAAUAUAUUGAACCGCAUGUUCAAUAGUGAAAGACGGUUUUGCUGUCACUUAUAGAUGGAUCCGCGCCGCAUUAGCUAGUUGGUAAGGUAACGGCUUACCAAGGCAAUGAUGCGUAGCCGACCUGAGAGGGUGAUCGGCCACACUGGAACUGAGACACGGUCCAGACUCCUACGGGAGGCAGCAGUAGGGAAUCUUCCGCAAUGGGCGAAAGCCUGACGGAGCAACGCCGCGUGAGUGAUGAAGGUCUUCGGAUCGUAAAACUCUGUUAUUAGGGAAGAACAAAUGUGUAAGUAACUAUGCACGUCUUGACGGUACCUAAUCAGAAAGCCACGGCUAACUACGUG